RNAcentral lists this ribosomal RNA (478 nucleotides) under uncultured bacterium. RNAcentral describes it as "partial 16S ribosomal RNA". It matches the Rfam family "Bacterial small subunit ribosomal RNA", at positions 28 to 523 of the family's 1533-position model. The record is from RNAcentral.
GACGAACGCUGGCGGCGUGCUUAACACAUGCAAGUCGAACGGUAAGGCCCUUCGGGGUACACGAGUGGCGAACGGGUGAGUAACACGUGGGUGAUCUGCCCUGCACUUCGGGAUAAGCCUGGGAAACUGGGUCUAAUACCGGAUAGGACCACUGCCUGCAUGGGUGGUGGUGGAAAGCUUUUGCGGUGUGGGAUGGGCCCGCGGCCUAUCAGCUUGUUGGUGGGGUGAUGGCCUACCAAGGCGACGACGGGUAGCCGGCCUGAGAGGGUGACCGGCCACACUGGGACUGAGGUACGGCCCAGACUCCUACGGGAGGCAGCAGUGGGGAAUAUUGCACAUUGGGCGCAAGCCUGAUGCAGCGACGCCGCGUGAGGGAUGACGGCCUUCGGGUUGUAAACCUCUUUCAGCUAUGACGAAGCGCAAGUGACGGUAGUAGCAGAAGAAGGACCGGCCAACUACGUGCCAGCAGCCGCGGUAA